CCUACGGGUGGCUGCAGUGGGGAAUUUUGGACAAUGGGCGCAAGCCUGAUCCAGCCAUGCCGCGUGAGUGAAGAAGGCCUUCGGGUUGUAAAGCUCUUUCGGCGGGGAAGAAAUUGCACUGGCUAAUACCUGGUGUAGAUGACGGUACCCGCCUAAGAAGCACCGGCUAACUACGUUCCAGCAGCCGCGGUAAUACGUAGGGUGCGAGCGUUAAUCGGAAUUACGGGGCGUAUAGCGUACGCAGGAGGUUAAAUCCCCGGGCUCAACCUGGGAACUGCAGUUGAGACGGCACGGCUAGAGGAUGGCAGAGGGGGGUAGAAUUCCACGUGUAGCAGUGAAAUGCGUAGAGAUGUGGAGGAAUACCGAUGGCGAAGGCAGCCCCCUGGGCUAUUUCUGACACUCAUGCACGAAAGCGUGGGGAGCAAACAGGAUUAGAUACCCGGGUAGUC
This 449-nucleotide ribosomal RNA is filed under the name uncultured bacterium. Its description in RNAcentral is "partial 16S ribosomal RNA". It matches the Rfam family "Bacterial small subunit ribosomal RNA", at positions 338 to 795 of the family's 1533-position model. The record is from RNAcentral.